GAUGAACGCUGGCGGCGUGCCUAAUACAUGCAAGUCGAGCGAACAGACGAGGAGCUUGCUCCUCUGACGUUAGCGGCGGACGGGUGAGUAACACGUGGAUAACCUACCUAUAAGACUGGGAUAACUGCGGGAAACCGGAGCUAAUACCGGAUAAUAUAUUGAACCGCAUGGUUCAAUAGUGAAAGACGGUUUUGCUGUCACUUAUAGAUGGAUCCGCGCCGCAUUAGCUAGUUGGUAAGGUAACGGCUUACCAAGGCGGCGAUGCGUAGCCGACCUGAGAGGGUGAUCGGCCACACUGGAACUGAGCCACGGUCCAGACUCCUACGGGAGGCAGCAGUAGGGAAUCUUCCGCAAUGGGCGAAAGCCUGACGGAGCAACGCCGCGUGAGUGAUGAAGGUCUUCGGAUCGUAAAACUCUGUUAUUAGGGAAGAACAAAUGUGUAAGUAACUAUGCACGUCUUGACGGUACCUAAUCAGAAAGCCACGGCUAACUACGUG
Molecule: ribosomal RNA, 497 nt
Filed under: uncultured bacterium
Lineage: Bacteria
Description: partial 16S ribosomal RNA
Rfam family: Bacterial small subunit ribosomal RNA
Source: RNAcentral